This 74-nucleotide transfer RNA is filed under the name Propionibacterium sp. RNAcentral's name for it is "tRNA-OTHER". It matches the Rfam family "tRNA". From Rfam's summary of the family: Transfer RNA (tRNA) molecules are approximately 80 nucleotides in length. Their secondary structure includes four short double-helical elements and three loops (D, anti-codon, and T loops). The record is from RNAcentral. Lineage: Bacteria; Bacillati; Actinomycetota; Actinomycetes; Propionibacteriales; Propionibacteriaceae.
CGGCGUGUAGCUCAGCAGUAGAGCACCGGGCUAGAACCCGGAAGGCGCAGGGGCAGCACCUGCCACGCCGGCCA